GUAGACCCCGAUCUGGGGACCGGACGAGGGAGCCGUACCCGGCGUGCGACAAGACGGCCUUCG
RNAcentral lists this non-coding RNA (63 nucleotides) under Nocardia seriolae. The record is from RNAcentral. Lineage: Bacteria; Bacillati; Actinomycetota; Actinomycetes; Mycobacteriales; Nocardiaceae.